GACGAACGCUGGCGGCGUGCUUAACACAUGCAAGUCGAACGAAGAGCGACGGAAGCUUGCUUCUAUCAAUCUUAGUGGCGAACGGGUGAGUAACGCGUAAUCAACCUGCCCUUCAGAGGGGGACAACAGUUGGAAACGACUGCUAAUACCGCAUACGAUCUAAUCUCGGCAUCGAGGAUAGAUGAAAGGUGGCCUCUACAUGUAAGCUAUCACUGAAGGAGGGGAUUGCGUCUGAUUAGCUAGUUGGAGGGGUAACGGCCCACCAAGGCGAUGAUCAGUAGCCGGUCUGAGAGGAUGAACGGCCACAUUGGGACUGAGACACGGCCCAGACUCCUACGGGAGGCAGCAGUGGGGAAUCUUCCGCAAUGGACGAAAGUCUGACGGAGCAACGCCGCGUGAGUGAUGACGGCCUUCGGGUUGUAAAGCUCUGUUAAUCGGGACGAAAGGCCUUCUUGCGAAUAGUGAGAAGGAUUGACGGUACCGGAAUAGAAAGCC
RNAcentral lists this ribosomal RNA (495 nucleotides) under Veillonella parvula. RNAcentral describes it as "bacterial SSU rRNA". It matches the Rfam family "Bacterial small subunit ribosomal RNA", at positions 28 to 492 of the family's 1533-position model. The record is from RNAcentral. Lineage: Bacteria; Bacillati; Bacillota; Negativicutes; Veillonellales; Veillonellaceae.